This is a small nucleolar RNA of Labeo rohita (rohu), 106 nucleotides long. RefSeq annotates it as small nucleolar RNA U13. The record is from RefSeq and is a predicted model, not a curated record. Lineage: Eukaryota; Metazoa; Chordata; Actinopteri; Cypriniformes; Cyprinidae. The transcript has a single exon.
AUCCUUCUAGGGUAACAAAAAAAUGAUGAUUGGUCUGAUCACAAAUGUUUGUGAGACGUGUUGCCAAGUUUACCUUGUUACGAUUAAACACGUUGACCAUCUGAUU